GACGAACGCUGGCGGCGUGCUUAACACAUGCAAGUCGAACGGAAAGGCCCUGCUUUUGUGGGGUGCUCGAGUGGCGAACGGGUGAGUAACACGUGAGUAACCUGCCCUUGACUUUGGGAUAACUUCAGGAAACUGGGGCUAAUACCGGAUAGGAGCUCCUGCUGCAUGGUGGGGGUUGGAAAGUUUCGGCGGUUGGGGAUGGACUCGCGGCUUAUCAGCUUGUUGGUGGGGUAGUGGCUUACCAAGGCUUUGACGGGUAGCCGGCCUGAGAGGGUGACCGGCCACAUUGGGACUGAGAUACGGCCCAGACUACUACGGGAGGCAGCAGUGGGGAAUAUUGCAAAAUGGGCGGAAGCCUGAUGCAGCAACGCCGAGUGCGGGAUGACGGCCUUCGGGUUGUAAACCGCUUUCGCCUGUGACGAAGCGUGAGUGACGGUAAUGGGUAAAGAAGCACCGGCUAACUACGUG
Molecule: ribosomal RNA, 468 nt
Filed under: uncultured bacterium
Lineage: Bacteria
Description: partial 16S ribosomal RNA
Rfam family: Bacterial small subunit ribosomal RNA
Source: RNAcentral